CCUACGGGAGGCAGCAGUGGGGAAUAUUGGGCAAUGGGCGCAAGCCUGACCCAGCAACGCCGCGUGAAGGAAGAAGGCUUUCGGGUUGUAAACUUCUUUUGUCCGGGAAGAGUAGAAGACGGUACCUGACGAAUAAGCCACGGCUAACUACGUGCCAGCAGCCGCGGUCAUACGUAGGUGGCACGCGUUGUCCGGAUUUACUGGGUUUAAAGGGCGUGUAGCCGGGUUGACAAGGCAGAUGUGAAAUCCUGCGGCUUAACCGCAGAACUGCAUUUGAAACUGUUGAUCUUGAGUACGGGAGAGGCAGACGGAAUUCGUAGUGUAGCGGUGAAAUGCGUAGAUAUUAGGAGGAACACCAGUGGCGAAGGCGGCUUACUGGACUGUAACUGACGUUGAGGCUCGAAAGCGUGGGGAGCAAACAGGAUUAGAUACCCUUGUAGUC
Molecule: ribosomal RNA, 442 nt
Filed under: uncultured bacterium
Lineage: Bacteria
Description: partial 16S ribosomal RNA
Rfam family: Bacterial small subunit ribosomal RNA
Source: RNAcentral